Molecule: transfer RNA, 66 nt
Filed under: Piscicola geometra
Lineage: Eukaryota; Metazoa; Annelida; Clitellata; Hirudinida; Piscicolidae
Description: tRNA-Tyr
Source: RNAcentral
AACAAGAUGGUUGAGAAUAUAAACGAUAAACUGUAAAUUUAUUAACGAGUUAAUACUCUCUUGUAC